Molecule: ribosomal RNA, 465 nt
Filed under: uncultured bacterium
Lineage: Bacteria
Description: partial 16S ribosomal RNA
Rfam family: Bacterial small subunit ribosomal RNA
Source: RNAcentral
GACGAACGCUGGCGGCGUGCUUAACACAUGCAAGUCGAACGGAAAGGCCCCUUUGGGGGUACUCGAGUGGCGAACGGGUGAGUAACACGUGAGUAACCUGCCCUUGACUUCGGGAUAACUUCAGGAAACUGGGGCUAAUACCGGAUAGGAAUCCUUGCUGCAUGGUGGGGGUUGGAAAGCUUCGGCGGUUUUGGAUGGACUCGCGGCUUAUCAGCUUGUUGGUGGGGUAGUGGCUUACCAAGGCUUUGACGGGUAGCCGGCCUGAGAGGGCGACCGGCCACAUUGGGACUGAGAUACGGCCCAGACUCCUACGGGAGGCAGCAGUGGGGAAUAUUGCACAAUGGGCGGAAGCCUGAUGCAGCAACGCCGCGUGCGGGAUGACGGCCUUCGGGUUGUAAACCGAUUUCAGCAGGGGCGAAGCUUGUGGUGACGGUACCUGCAGAAGAAGCACCGGCUAACUACGUG